RNAcentral lists this ribosomal RNA (497 nucleotides) under uncultured bacterium. Its description in RNAcentral is "partial 16S ribosomal RNA". It matches the Rfam family "Bacterial small subunit ribosomal RNA", at positions 28 to 507 of the family's 1533-position model. The record is from RNAcentral.
GAUGAACGCUGGCGGCGUGCCUAAUACAUGCAAGUCGAGCGAACGGACGAGAAGCUUGCUUCUCUGAUGUUAGCGGCGGACGGGUGAGUAACACGUGGAUAACCUACCUAUAAGACUGGGAUAACUUCGGGAAACCGGAGCUAAUACCGGAUAAUAUUUUGAACCGCAUGGUUCAAAAGUAAAAGACGGUCUUGCUGUCACUUAUAGAUGGAUCCGCGCUGCAUUAGCUAGUUGGUAAGGUAACGGCUUACCAAGGCAACGAUGCAUAGCCGACCUGAGAGGGUGAUCGGCCACACUGGAACUGAGACACGGUCCAGACUCCUACGGGAGGCAGCAGUAGGGAAUAUUCCGCAAUGGGCGAAAGCCUGACGGAGCAACGCCGCGUGAGUGAUGAAGGUCUUCGGAUCGUAAAACUCUGUUAUUAGGGAAGAACAUAUGUGUAAGUAACUGUGCACAUCUUGACGGUACCUAAUCAGAAAGCCACGGCUAACUACGUG